Molecule: long non-coding RNA, 2572 nt
Organism: Lotus japonicus
Lineage: Eukaryota; Viridiplantae; Streptophyta; Magnoliopsida; Fabales; Fabaceae
Exons: 2
Source: RefSeq, a predicted model, not a curated record
AACAUUUCAACUGAUAUUAACCUUUUUUCCAUUUGUCAACUCCUCAUCAACAUAUAUUUGAAGACCAUAAAAGCCCUAUUUUAAAACAAUUUUAAUGGAGUUCCACACUUGUGCUUAGAGGCGGAUCCAGAUAUUUUUUGAAGCCUGGGCAAAUUUUGGCAAAAUUGGUUGCAUUGGACCCUUCAAUAUAUAUGUCAUUUUCACUUCGUCUUGAAUAUUCGAAGCAUACUCAUUAAUUUGUUUCCUACGACCUGGAUCACGCACAAUAUCAUUUGGAUUAAACUCAUUGGUCACAUUAGGCGGUGAUUCUACUUCAGCUUCCGUUUGCACAACAUUCACAUUCUUAAUACUUGCUUUAUCAACAAAAAAUUUCUUCAUCUCUAAAAUUUAAUGAUCUAAAGAAGCAACAAAGAAAAGCACAAUUAGAAAUUAGAAUCAAAUUAAAAAAGCACUAAAAGUCAACACUAAUAAACAAAUACAAUGAGAUCAAUAAUGCACACAUGCUUUUAAUGGGGAAGAAUACCACCUCCAUCCACCCACCCACCCACAAUACUACUUAUAAAAAAAAUUGCCUCUCCACAUUCAAAUUUCCAAUUUUCCAAAGCCACAAAUUUGCUAUUAUUCACAUUCCAAUUUCCAAUAUAAUUGUUACUACUAUAAUGCUAUAAUUACUAUCCACUCACUUCUACCUCACCCACAUUCCACAUUCCAUUUUUUUUUUUAUAAUUGCUAUAUAAUGCAAUCAAACCUGCAAAUAACCACAUUAACUUCAAAUUGCUAUCCACUUACUUCAGCCUCACACCACGCCCUCACCUCACCCACAUAACCUCACGCCACACCCUCACCUCACUCACUUCUGCCUCACCCACCUAACCUCACACCACAUUCUCUGUCUCUCACUCUCUAAAAACUCACAAAUUCAUCUCAAAUUCUCCAAUUUGCCACGCUAUCACAAGCUCUCUGCCUCACAGCCUCACUCAAAGUCAAAUUCAUGUGUCUCACUCACUCAAAUUCAUGUUUCUCACCCACUCUCCAACAACAAGCCCUCAAAACGCCCUCACAAGCUCUCUGCCUCAUGCGGUCAUGCCCUCACUCACUCUCUGUCUCUCUCACUCUCUCUCAAGUUCAUGAUCUCCACAGACCACAACCACCUGUAUGAUUCACUUCUCACCCACACACAACCCUCUUCACAGUUCACUCACCCACGGUGUCCAAAAGGAAGAAGCGGGUGAUCGAUGCUACGGAAACUGAAUAGGAAAACAGAGGAAACAAGCGCAGAAAGCUUCGAAAGCAUUAUUGCAGUUACAUUGAUAAGCAAUUGAGCAGUUAUGUUAGGGUUUGAAUUGGAGAAGAGGAAAAAACGUACCAUGGUUGAUGAAGAAGCCUCAACAGUGCACGAGAGAGAGGAGUUUUGCCCAAAGGGCCCUAUGGCCCAAAUAAAAAUUAUUUUUUUGGCCAUGGAGCCUGGGCAUGUGCCCAAGCUGGUCGGGCGGUAAAUCCGCCACUACUUGUGCUCCUCUCCUCCGGCAACCAUUUAGUAAAUCCACCUUGUUCCAUCCUAGCAUCAACGUUAGUACUAAGCUUCUCCCCGCAAAUGCCAACCACCACCAUCAUCAUCUUCUUAGUGGUAGUGUGCUCUGUAAUGUUUGGUGCUUACUCCACCCGAGCGGCUUGACUCGAUGUCCAUCCUGGAUGGAACCAAGGGACUUGAGCUUUCUCCAGACAAAUUUGAUCCAAAAAGAUGCUAAGUUGUUCACGGUAAAAGUGAAGAUAUACAGCUAUCAUGGAUGCGGUGCGUGCAACACCCAACCCUAGCAUGACACACCAUGUGAUAUACAUCGAUUGUGGACUUUACAAUGACAUUGUCUAUAUGGGUUCUAAUAAGUGGAAUAUUAAGAUGAUUAGAGAGGGGAUGCAUCUCACUAUCAUCUCCAAAAACUUGAGUUGCCAACAUCAACAUUUGAAUCCUUACGACACAACAACUUUUGGUGUUGAAGGAUCGGAAUAGGGUUUAUGACACAAAAUAUUUCAUUUAGGAACACUCUCGGGCCUAAGGAGAGCAAUCUGUGGCACUACGAUCAACCUUUGACCGCGGUAUCUUCUAUCGGUGUGAAAUUUAUGGUUAUCAAGACACCCCCUACAUUCACUUCAUGAGGCAACUUCUGCAUCGAAUUUGUCGAAUUCUUCAUCAGGGAUCACCACCCCCACCACCCUCCUCCUCAGAGGCCAUACCCUCCUUCCCCUUAUGGUUUAGUGGGUUCUCUUGCUAGGGUUUCUUCUCAUACUGAGGACCCCAGUGAGGUUUUCAAGCACAAUGCUAUCAAUAAGCUUGUGGAGAUGGUGCAUAACGAUGUUACCGCGUUGAGGAAGACGAGGGCAUGGAUUGAGGAAAUGUUUUGGUUAGAUUAUCUUAGAGGUUGAUCACUGAUGGGCCAAUGUCUGAUGUAAUGAUGUUGUAAACUAAAUGUACUUUUGAUUUUGUGUAUAAUUUUUGUGUACACAAUACACAAAAUCGAUUCACACUUAUAGAAGCUAAGGGAAAUAGUUUUUGUGCACCAUAAUUUUGGUUCAA